Molecule: ribosomal RNA, 286 nt
Filed under: uncultured bacterium
Lineage: Bacteria
Description: partial 16S ribosomal RNA
Rfam family: Bacterial small subunit ribosomal RNA
Source: RNAcentral
GACGAACGCUGGCGGCGUGCUUAACACAUGCAAGUCGAGCGGUAAGGCCCUUUCGGGGGUACACGAGCGGCGAACGGGUGAGGAACGCGUGGACAACCUACCCCGGCGAGGGGGAGUACCCGCCAGAAAUGGCGGCUAAUACCGCGUACGGUCGUCUGACGAGGGGUUGGACGAAGAAAGCAGUGAUGCGCGCUGGGAGGGGUCUGCGGCCGAUUAGCUGGUUGGUGGGGUAGUGGCCCACCAAGGCGAUGANCGGUAGCUGGUCUGAGAGGAUGAUCAGCCACAC